Molecule: ribosomal RNA, 356 nt
Filed under: uncultured soil bacterium
Lineage: Bacteria
Description: bacterial SSU rRNA
Rfam family: Bacterial small subunit ribosomal RNA
Source: RNAcentral
AGGAUGAACGCUGGCGGCGUGCUUAACACAUGCAAGUCGAACGAUGAAGGCUGGAGCUUGCUCUGGCUGGAUUAGUGGCGAACGGGUGAGUAACACGUGAGUAACCUGCCCCAGACUCUGGGAUAAGCGCUGGAAACGGCGUCUAAUACCGGAUACGAGCUUCCACCGCAUGGUGAGGAGCUAGGAAAGUAAUUUCGGUCUGGGAUGGACUCGCGGCCUAUCAGCUUGUUGGUGAGGUAAUGGCUCACCAAGGCGACGACGGGUAGCCGGCCUGAGAGGGUGACCGGCCACGACUGGGACUGAGACACGGCCCAGACUCCUACGGGAGGCAGGCAGGUGGGGAAUAGUUGACACAA